Molecule: microRNA, 22 nt
Filed under: Heligmosomoides polygyrus
Lineage: Eukaryota; Metazoa; Nematoda; Chromadorea; Rhabditida; Heligmosomidae
Description: hpo-miR-10157-5p
Source: miRBase by way of RNAcentral
AUCCCGCCCCUAGGUGUGUGUU